UGUCAUUGAAUCAUAUAAAUUCUACACGGGAAAAGACAAUUACGCACUCUAAAAAAAACCGCAAAGUCGGCCCCCUUAGCCACUCCUCCACACGUCAGUGUUUUUGUUCUCUCUCUCUCCAUGUUUAUCGGUCUUUCGGUUUUAUUAUAGCUGCCCUCGGCUCACUGUGACUGCUUUGUAAAGACAGCGUAAGGCUGAGGUAAGACUAACUCCUCUUUAAACCUCGUUCACUUUUAGACUGUAGUUUCGCAGGGCUAGUGAGCAGUGACUGAAUACAGGACGUUUUGGUAAAUGUGACGUAAAGCCGAGCUGGUUUGCAACAAAUGUGCCGCGAAUGAUCUUCUACAAUUUAAAAAUAUGAUACGAAGGGAAGCAGUCCUAACAUCUAUUAAUUAUGUUAAAAGCACGCUGUCUAUAUUUUAUCGUUUAAAAUACCUUUAUAUGCUCACACUGCACUGACCCGGAAAAAUGUGGGGCUGAUGUUUAUGUCUCUCAGCCCCAUGUGGCUCCCCUCUGUUCUCCAGGACGCGCGAUAUUUCUGUGACAGGACCCCAGCAUCCUGACCAUUAGUAGUGAAGCCUCAUUGCAUGAUGGGAGUCCACCCAGUAUAUUUAGUGUUUAUGAUUAGUGUCACCUCGCUGGUGCCAGGUCUGCACCACUGCAUGUCUGUCCUCUUGCUAAAUGGGGACCCCGUCCUUGUUGCCCUGGGUCAAACACUGGUUCUGGAAGCUCAAGUCAACAAAACCCCAGGACAUGAGGUUUCAAUGGUGACGUGGGAGAGGCAGAGAGGGAACCUUAGAGACAAGAUAGCCGAAUAUCCCAAGAGGAACCUCAAGCCGCAUGUGACCCUGGACCAGCAGGGAACGCUACUGAGAGUUACUGAACUGAACAAGGAAGGCUACGGAAUCUAUACUGUGACUGUGACUGACAAAAACGGGAAAGAAUACAUUGAUAGACGGACCGUAAAAGAAGCUGUUACGCCACCAGAAGCGUCCAUCUCGCUCUACUGCGACGUGCCCCUCACGCGGUGGGACAUGCCUGGGUUCGUGUGGCUAGUGGACGGGGUGGACGUGUCCAACAACGCUAGUGUCCUCUCUGCGGACGGCAGGAGACUCUUUCUGUCCAGACAGAAAGGGUCAAACUACACCUGUAUAGUGAACAGCAGCCAGGGUUCCAGUGUAACCCAGUACAUCACAGGUGAGCCCCCAGAUCCACCAUCACCUGGAUCGCAGGGCUUUGUUAAUGAUCUGAUUUUACCAUAUCUACUGGAGCCUAGGUGUCAUCUCAGCAUCCUGUGACGGGCUUACCUGCAGCGGCUGGAUCUGGGUCCUGGUGGCCCUGUCCUUUGCUAUCUGCCUCUAGCGGCUAUUUAAAUUGAGGCAACAGGGUGUCCCUCCCAGCCAAUCAUCUAGCUCUAUUAAUUGACACUCACAGGGUCAUGUGCCAAAUGAUAGCGUCCAUCAGCACAGUGCCAUUGGGACCAUGCAGACGAUGACCACAACCUAACAACUGAGGUCUCUGUCACAGUAAUGCAGAAACUGUUAUCUUAAUAUUAAUUGUGACAUUUUUACUACCAUGGUGUAAUAAAGAUGUAUUUUGCCUGUGUUUAUAAAAAAUAUUUUCAUAAUUA
Brienomyrus brachyistius is the source of this 1630-nucleotide RNA transcript. RefSeq lists it as uncharacterized. The record is from RefSeq and is a predicted model, not a curated record. Lineage: Eukaryota; Metazoa; Chordata; Actinopteri; Osteoglossiformes; Mormyridae. The transcript has 4 exons.